This is a small nuclear RNA of Equus asinus (donkey), 106 nucleotides long. NCBI's taxonomy places the organism in Eukaryota, Metazoa, Chordata, Mammalia, Perissodactyla, Equidae. The record is from Ensembl.
GUGCUCAUUUCAGGCAGCUUAUAUACUAAAAUUGGAAUGAUACAGAGAAGAUUAACAUGGUGCCUACGCAUGAACGACAUACAUUCGUGAAGUGUUUCAUUAAAAA